RNAcentral lists this ribosomal RNA (461 nucleotides) under uncultured bacterium. Its description in RNAcentral is "partial 16S ribosomal RNA". It matches the Rfam family "Bacterial small subunit ribosomal RNA", at positions 338 to 795 of the family's 1533-position model. The record is from RNAcentral.
CCUACGGGAGGCAGCAGUGAGGAAUAUUGGUCAAUGGGCGGAAGCCUGAACCAGCCAAGUCGCGUGAGGGAAUAAGGCCCUACGGGUCGUAAACCUCUUUUGCCGGGGAGCAAGGGCGGGGACGUGUCCCGGCCCGGAGAGUACCCGGAGAAAAAGCAUCGGCUAACUCCGUGCCAGCAGCCGCGGUAAUACGGAGGAUGCGAGCGUUAUCCGGAUUUAUUGGGUUUAAAGGGUGCGUAGGUGGUUUGGCAAGUUGGUAGCGUAAUCCCGGGGCUCAACCUCGGUGCUACUACCAAAACUGUUGAACUUGAGUGCAGGAGGGGUGAAUGGAAUUCCCAGUGUAGCGGUGGAAUGCGUAGAUAUUGGGAAGAACACCAGCGGCGAAGGCGAUUCACUGGACUGUAACUGACACUGAGGCACGAAAGCGUGGGGAGCAAACAGGAUUAGAUACCCCAGUAGUC